Molecule: ribosomal RNA, 187 nt
Filed under: uncultured rumen bacterium
Lineage: Bacteria
Description: partial 16S ribosomal RNA
Rfam family: Bacterial small subunit ribosomal RNA
Source: RNAcentral
UACGGGAGGCAGCAGUGAGGAAUAUUGGUCAAUGGACGAGAGUCUGAACCAGCCAAGUAGCGUGAAGGAUGACGGCCCUAUGGGUUGUAAACUUCUUUUGUUUGGGAAUAAAGUGCUCUACGUGUAGAGUUUUGUAUGUACCUUACGAAUGAGCAUCGGCUAAUUCCGUGCCAGCAGCCGCGGUAAU